Molecule: ribosomal RNA, 467 nt
Filed under: uncultured bacterium
Lineage: Bacteria
Description: partial 16S ribosomal RNA
Rfam family: Bacterial small subunit ribosomal RNA
Source: RNAcentral
GACGAACGCUGGCGGCGUGCUUAACACAUGCAAGUCGAACGGAAAGGCCCUGCUUUUGUGGGGUGCUCGAGUGGCGAACGGGUGAGUCACACGUGAGUAACCUGCCCUUGACUUUGGUAUACCUUCAGGAAACUGGGGCUAAUACCGGAUAGGCGCUCCUUCUGCAUGGUGGGGGUUGGAAAGUUUCGGCGGUGGGGGAUGGACUCGCGGCUUAUCAGCUUGUUGGUGGGGUAGUGGCUUACCAAGGCUUUGACGGGUAGCCGGCCUGAGAGGGUGACCGGCCACAUUGGGACUGAGAGACGGCACAGACUCCUGCGGGAGGCAGCAGGGGGGAAUAUUGCACAAUGGGCGGAAGCCUGAUGCAGCAAGGCCGGGUGCGGGAGGACGGCCUUCGGGUUGUAAACCGCUGUCGCCUGUGACGAAGCGUGAGUGACGGUAAGGGGGAAGGAAGCACCGGCUAACUACGU